This 1398-nucleotide ribosomal RNA is filed under the name uncultured bacterium. RNAcentral describes it as "16S ribosomal RNA". It matches the Rfam family "Bacterial small subunit ribosomal RNA". The record is from RNAcentral.
AGAGUUUGAUCCUGGCUCAGGAUGAACGCUAGCGGCAGGCUUAACACAUGCAAGUCGAGGGGCAUCGGGAGGGAAGCUUGCUUUCCUUGCCGGCGACCGGCGCACGGGUGAGUAACACGUAUGCAACCUGCCCUCUUCAGGGGGACAACCUUCCGAAAGGGAGGCUAAUCCCGCGUAUAUCGGUUUCGGGCAUCCGAGAUCGAGGAAAGAUUCAUCGGAAGAGGAUGGGCAUGCGGCGCAUUAGCUAGACGGCGGGGUAACGGCCCACCGUGGCGACGAUGCGUAGGGGUUCUGAGAGGAAGGUCCCCCACACUGGUACUGAGACACGGACCAGACUCCUACGGGAGGCAGCAGUGAGGAAUAUUGGUCAAUGGGAGAGAUCCUGAACCAGCCAAGCCGCGUGAGGGAAGACGGCCCUAUGGGUUGUAAACCUCUUUUGUCGGAGAACAAAACCCGGGACGAGUCCCGGACUGCGUGUAUCCGAAGAAAAAGCAUCGGCUAACUCCGUGCCAGCAGCCGCGGUAAUACGGAGGAUGCGAGCGUUAUCCGGAUUUAUUGGGUUUAAAGGGUGCGUAGGCGGUCCGUUAAGUCAGCGGUAAAAUUGCGGGGCUCAACCCCGUCGAGCCGUUGAAACUGGCAGACUUGAGUUGGCGAGAAGUACGCGGAAUGCGCGGUGUAGCGGUGAAAUGCAUAGAUAUCGCGCAGAACUCCGAUUGCGAAGGCAGCGUACCGGCGCCAGACUGACGCUGAGGCACGAAAGCGUGGGGAUCGAACAGGAUUAGAUACCCUGGUAGUCCACGCAGUAAACGAUGAAUGCUGGUUGUCCGGGUCGAAUGAGAUCUGGGCGGCGAAGCGAAAGCGAUAAGCAUUCCACCUGGGGAGUACGCCGGCAACGGUGAAACUCAAAGGAAUUGACGGGGGCCCGCACAAGCGGAGGAACAUGUGGUUUAAUUCGAUGAUACGCGAGGAACCUUACCCGGGCUCAAACGGGAGUGGAAUGGACCAGAGACGGUUCAGCCUACGGGCCGCUUCCGAGGUGCUGCAUGGUUGUCGUCAGCUCGUGCCGUGAGGUGUCGGCUUAAGUGCCAUAACGAGCGCAACCCCCGCCGGCAGUUGCUAACGGGCAAUGCCGAGGACUCUGCCGGGACUGCCGCCGCAAGGCGAGAGGAAGGCGGGGAUGACGUCAAAUCAGCACGGCCCUUACGUCCGGGGCGACACACGUGUUACAAUGGCAGGUACAGAGAGAAGCGAUGCGGCGACGCAGAGCGGAACUUCAAAGCCUGUCUCAGUUCGGAUUGGAGUCUGCAACCCGACUCCAUGAAGCUGGAUUCGCUAGUAAUCGCGCAUCAGCCACGGCGCGGUGAAUACGUUCCCGGGCCUUGUACACACCGCCCGUCA